AAAAAAAACUAAAUAAAACUCGGGAAAAAGACACGAAUUCUUGUGAAAUUGGGAACAUAAAAUGUGAUUUCUGAAAAACGGCAUAAUGCACGAAUGCAGAAUACGAUGGUAUCACGGUGACAAAUAUACGAUAACUGUGCGACGGGUCUUCUGGCGCGCGCGGAAUAGAAGUCAGUUCGCUAAAGACUCAUCGCUAAUGUUGUCUUUAAACGCUUCUAUGUCAUUGCUCUAUCCGUAAUAUAUGAUAUAAUGCUAUAAUAUUAUGUUUCAAGUAAGCCGAAA
Molecule: non-coding RNA, 282 nt
Organism: Cinara cedri
Lineage: Eukaryota; Metazoa; Arthropoda; Insecta; Hemiptera; Aphididae
Source: the annotation of a GenBank genome assembly